This 1501-nucleotide ribosomal RNA is filed under the name metagenome. Its description in RNAcentral is "bacterial LSU rRNA". It matches the Rfam family "Bacterial large subunit ribosomal RNA", at positions 1280 to 2910 of the family's 2925-position model. The record is from RNAcentral.
AUUCAGAAGCGAGAAUGUUGACAUGAGUAGCGACAAAGCGGGUGAGAGACCCGCUCGCCGAAAGUCCAAGGGUUCCUGCUUAAAGCUAAUCUGAGCAGGGUGAGCCGACCCCUAAGGCGAGGCCGAAAGGCGUAGUCGAUGGGAACCAGGUUAAUAUUCCUGGGCCAGGAGGAAGUGACGGAUCGUAGCUGUUGUCUGGUCUUAUCGGAUUGAUCAGGCUUCGAAGCGGUCCCUGGAAAUAGCCCUCCGUGAGAUCGUACCCUAAACCGACACAGGUGGACUGGUAGAGCAUACCAAGGCGCUUGAGAGAACUACGUUGAAGGAACUCGGCAAAAUGCCUCCGUAACUCCGGGAGAAGGAGGCCCCGUUGGUGGGCAACCACUGGCGGGGGGCACAAACUAGGGGGUGGCGACUGUUUACUAAAAACACAGGACUCUGCGAAGCCCAAAGGCGACGUAUAGGGUCUGACGCCUGCCCGGUGCCGGAAGGUUAAAAGGAGGAGUGCAAGCUCUGAAUUGAAGCCCCGGUAAACGGCGGCCGUAACAAUAACGGUCCUAAGGUAGCGAAAUUCCUUGUCGGGUAAGUUCCGACCUGCACGAAUGGCGUAACGACUUCCCCGCUGUCUCCAACUUAGACUCAGCGAAAUUGAAUUCCCCGUGAAGAUGCGGGGUUCCCGCGGUCAGACGGAAAGACCCCGUGCACCUUUACUACAGCUUCACACUGGCAUCAGGUCAGGCAUGUGCAGGAUAGGUGGUAGGCUUGAAGCGGGGACGCCAGUUCCCGGGGAGCCUCCCUUGGGAUACCACCCUUGCCUUGCCUGAUGUCUAACCGCGGACCGUUAUCCGGUUCCGGGACCCUGUGUGGCGGGUAGUUUGACUGGGGCGGUCGCCUCCCAAAGAGUAACGGAGGCGCGCGAUGGUGGGCUCAGGUUGGUCGGAAAUCAACCGUCGAGUGCAAUGGCAUAAGCCCGCCUGACUGCGAGACUGACAAGUCGAGCAGAGACGAAAGUCGGCCAUAGUGAUCCGGUGGUCCCGCGUGGAAGGGCCAUCGCUCAACGGAUAAAAGGUACGCCGGGGAUAACAGGCUGAUACUGCCCAAGAGUCCAUAUCGACGGCAGUGUUUGGCACCUCGAUGUCGGCUCAUCACAUCCUGGGGCUGGAGAAGGUCCCAAGGGUACGGCUGUUCGCCGUUUAAAGUGGUACGUGAGCUGGGUUUAGAACGUCGUGAGACAGUUCGGUCCCUAUCUGCCGUGGGUGUCGGAGACUUGAGAGGAGUUGCCCCUAGUACGAGAGGACCGGGGUGAACGCACCACUGGUGGACCUGUUGUCGUGCCAACGGCAGUGCAGGGUAGCUAUGUGCGGACAGGAUAACCGCUGAAGGCAUCUAAGCGGGAAGCCCCCCUCAAAACCAGGUCUCCCUUGAGGGCCGUGGAAGACCACCACGUCGAUAGGCCGGAGGUAUAAGUGCAGCAAUGCAUUCAGCUGACCGGUACUAAUCGCCC